This 506-nucleotide ribosomal RNA is filed under the name Australatya striolata. Its description in RNAcentral is "partial 16S ribosomal RNA". It matches the Rfam family "Bacterial large subunit ribosomal RNA", at positions 1850 to 2611 of the family's 2925-position model. The record is from RNAcentral. Lineage: Eukaryota; Metazoa; Arthropoda; Malacostraca; Decapoda; Atyidae.
CAGUCUGGCCUGCCCCCUGAUAUUUUAAAGGGCCGCGGUAUCUGAACCGUGCUAAGGUAGCAUAAUCAAUAGUCUUUUAAUUGAGGUCUAGUAUGAAUGGUCGGACAGGAGAUAAGCUGUCUUAGUUAUAUUUGUUGAAUUUUACUUUUAAGUGAAAAGGCUUAAAUUUAGUGAUGGGACGAUAAGACCCUAUAAAGCUUUGAUAUAUAAGUUUUUAGUUUUAGAAAUGUAAGGUGUUUCUGUCUAAUUAAUUUAUGUAUUUCGUUGGGGCGACGGAAAUAUAAUUUGUAACUGUUUUCUAUUAGAAAAUAAAUGUUUUUAGAGAAUCUGAUCCUUUUUAAAGAUUAUGAGAUUAAAGUUACUUUAGGGAUAACAGCGUAAUUUUUCUUGAGAGUUCUUAUCGACAGAAGUAGUUGCGACCUCGAUGUUGAAUUAAGGUGCCACCAAGGUGUAGCAGUUUUGGUAGUGGGUCUGUUCGACCCUUGAAGCCUUACGUGAUCUGAGUU